This 128-nucleotide ribosomal RNA is filed under the name Pteropus alecto (black flying fox). Lineage: Eukaryota; Metazoa; Chordata; Mammalia; Chiroptera; Pteropodidae. The record is from RNAcentral.
GUCUGCGGCCACGCCACCCUGAACACGCCCGAUGUCUGAUCUCGGAAGCUGAGCAGGGUCAGGCCUAACCUCAGGCCUAGUUAGCACCUGGAUGGGAGACCGCCUAGGGAGACCAGGUGCUGUAGGCA